GCCGGCCGGGGCCGCGGAGGCGGCGGGGAGCUCACCGCAAAGCUGGAGGCUGGAGGCUGAAAGCUGCGUCCGCGGGCGCGCGAGGAGCCGAGGCAGCGAGCGAGCUCUCUGCGGCGGCGGUGGACGCUGCUGAAGGAGCCUGCCCUGGAGAAGCCUCUGCCCGGUGCUUGGAGACGUGCCCCUCUGGCCUCUGCCUGGACCUUGGAGGGCACCGGCCGCUGAGGCUCAGACCUUGCACUGGGCUCCAGGAGGGACCCCGGCUCAGCGUCAGCCCUGGCUAGAAGCGAGGGACCAAGGACCCAGCCGGAACCACCAGGACCCGACGACAGCUCAAGCCACCCAAGGCACAAAGGCGCCACAAACCACUGUUCCAUAAACCAAAGCCAAAAUCCUUGUCCUCCCCUUCUCCCAUGGCUGCUCCCUCCUCCUCCCUUGCCCUUCUUUGGCCAGGAGCUCCCCUCCAAGGACCCCCAGAGGAGCCCAGACUGCAAGGAGCGGCUGUGCCCACACCUGAGCGACCCAGGGACCGACACCCGGAGCGGAGCAGACCAGACCCCCUGAAUCACAGAUGCCCACGGUGUGACUCUGAAUGCGCCCCAGCUUCCCUGGGCCUGGUGGGGGGGUUGCUCCGUGAACCUAAGGAAAGGAGGCCUCUGCCGGGAGCUGACACUUGGAGAACGAAGCCAGCGGACACCUCAGCCCUGCCCUGGGGGUCUGAAGACACUCACCUCUGUGGGGCUGGGGCUGGCUGCGGGCCUCAGUUCUGAGCGCGCGGCGACCGCCUGGGCCACAGGCCACAGCAGCUCACCUCCGGGCUGGGUUCUCUGGCGGCUCUGGCCGGCUGCGGGUCGGGCAGUGACUGGGGCUGCGGCUCCGGCUGGGGGGCAGCCUGGGCAGGGGGCUCUGCUGGAUGAGAUGCAGGGCCUCGGGGCUUGGGAUCCACCUCCUCCUCAAGGAGCUCUGCAGUGACUCUUCGGCCCCUGGGGAAAAUACAAAGGUGUUCCUGAGAUGAGCACUUUUAAAACAAACCUCCCCCAAGCCAGAGCAUCGUCCCUUCCUCCCUGUCCCCUGGCUGUUCGGUGGGAAGGCCUGCAGGUCACCUUGCCAGGGUUUUGGGUGGCAGCUCCCCUUCCUGUCCCUCUGGCUGCCUAGCUCCCCCUUUUUCAAAGGACAAGGGAAGAGGAAAGUGGCCCACAGUUCACCUAGAGCUGGGCUUCCCAGGAGCCAAGCCUGCAAAGGUGCCUGCCCAUGAAGAGGCAAGAGACCCUUCUGUUGGGUGGGCUGUCCCUUCCUGGCUGGUGUGGACUUCUGCCUGGGCAUGGGGUGGGGGCUGCACACAAAAGGCUUGCCUUGGGGGAUCACAGCACACUAUAUGACACCCCCACCCACUCCAACAUUCCCACCUUGGGUGGAAGCAAGGAGGGGGCCAGGUAUAAACCAAAGGACACAGUUCCGUAUGAAGAAAUCAGCUGGAUGGCAGCCUUGGGAUGGGACACUGGGCUUCCCUUGGGAAAUGAAACCUGUCACCACAGACACCACAUUGGCUGUAUGGAGAAGUCUGGGACCCCCGGGUGGAAGGGAGAGAAACUUCAUGUGCAGAAUUAUGCACACCCCUGGGAAAUUGCCCUUGCCCCAGCACACGGUUCUGUGGGCAGGAGAGGCACCAGGAGAACCCGGCAGGCCUUCAGGGAGAGAGGAGCUUUACUCUUUCAGUCCUGCUGUGGGGGUACCAAGGUGUAUGGCCCUUCAUUGUCCUCCUCCUCAAUCUCCUUUCCAAUUACUUAGUGGGAUUCUUUGGUUAUG
This is a long non-coding RNA of Mirounga angustirostris (Northern elephant seal), 1803 nucleotides long. RefSeq lists it as uncharacterized. The record is from RefSeq and is a predicted model, not a curated record. NCBI's taxonomy places the organism in Eukaryota, Metazoa, Chordata, Mammalia, Carnivora, Phocidae. The transcript has 4 exons.